GACGAACGCUGGCGGCGUGCUUAACACAUGCAAGUCGAACGGAAAGGCCCUGCUUUUGUGGGGUGCUCGAGUGGCUAACGGGGGAGUAGCACGUGAGUAACCUGCCCUUGACUUUGGGAUAACUUCAGGAAACUGGGGAUAAUACCGGAUAGGAGCGCCUGCUGCGUGGUGGGGGGUGGAAAGUUUCGGCGGUUGGGGAUGGACUCGCGGCUUAUCAGGUUGUUGGUGGGGUAGUUGCUUACCAAGGCGUUGACGGGUAGCCGGCCUGAGAGGGUGACCGGCCACAUUGGGACUGAGCUACGGCCCAGACUCCUACGGGAGGCAGCAGCGGGGAAUAUUGCACAAUGGGCGGAAGCCUGAUGCAGCAACGCCGCGUGCGGGAUGACGGCCUUCGGGUUGUAACCCGCUUUCGCCUGUGACGAAGCGUGAGUGACGGUAAUGGUUAAAGAAGCACCGGCUAACUACGUG
This 468-nucleotide ribosomal RNA is filed under the name uncultured bacterium. RNAcentral's name for it is "partial 16S ribosomal RNA". It matches the Rfam family "Bacterial small subunit ribosomal RNA", at positions 28 to 507 of the family's 1533-position model. The record is from RNAcentral.